AUGAACGCUGGCGGCGUGCUUAACACAUGCAAGUCGAACGAUGAAGCCCAGCUUGCUGGGUGGAUUAGUGGCGAACGGGUGAGUAACACGUGAGUAACCUGCCCUUAACUCUGGGAUAAGCCUGGGAAUCUGGGUCUAAUACCGGAUAGGAGCGUCCACCGCAUGGUGGGUGUUGGAAAGAUUUAUCGGUUUUGGAUGGACUCGCGGCCUAUCAGCUUGUUGGUGAGGUAAUGGCUCACCAAGGCGACGACGGGUAGCCGGCCUGAGAGGGUGACCGGCCACACUGGGACUGAGACACGGCCCAGACUCCUACGGGAGGCAGCAGUGGGGAAUAUUGCACAAUGGGCGCAAGCCUGAUGCAGCGACGCCGCGUGAGGGAUGACGGCCUUCGGGUUGUAAACCUCUUUCAGUAGGGAAGAAGCGAAAGUGACGGUACCUGCAGAAGAAGCACCGGCUAACUACGUG
Molecule: ribosomal RNA, 465 nt
Filed under: uncultured bacterium
Lineage: Bacteria
Description: partial 16S ribosomal RNA
Rfam family: Bacterial small subunit ribosomal RNA
Source: RNAcentral